UAAUGCAGCGGACAGUGAUACGGUCACUGAGCCACUUCUGAUAAGUGUCUCUGACUGUACCCCGUGCAUUAGCAGCAGGCUGCUCAGGUGCCGGAUUCGUUAUCACAUAAAGGAUCCGUUCAUGCUCUAGCACUAUCUUAAGUUUUCUAAGCCACUUAUUGAAAUUGGGUCCAGUCAACUUGUCAUUAUCCAACAUUGAACGAAGUGACAGAUUAGUGGUCAUUUCUGCAUAAAAAGAAAAUCGGCUAUCAGUAUAUGAACUGACAAUACCCUAAAUACUUAGACUUUAGUCUAAAGAUUUUUCUACUAUUUUAUACAAAUUUGUAGCCUCUACCUCAAA
RNAcentral lists this long non-coding RNA (340 nucleotides) under Phoenix dactylifera (date palm). Its description in RNAcentral is "long non-coding RNA (PDAC_LNC013475)". The record is from RNAcentral. Lineage: Eukaryota; Viridiplantae; Streptophyta; Magnoliopsida; Arecales; Arecaceae.